This 201-nucleotide long non-coding RNA is filed under the name Medicago truncatula (barrel medic). Its description in RNAcentral is "long non-coding RNA (MTRU_LNC007940)". The record is from RNAcentral. Lineage: Eukaryota; Viridiplantae; Streptophyta; Magnoliopsida; Fabales; Fabaceae.
UUGUUUAUAUUUAAUAUUAGGAUUCAUUACUAAUUAGAAUGUAAGUUAGGUUAUUUUGAUGAUUAUUAAUGUUAAUAUAUAGAUAUAUCAUUUGGAUUAUUCGUAUUAUCCUCAAUAUGAGGCCAUGUUUGGAUAGUUGACUAUGAUAUAUCAGUUACAUGCAUAUUGAUACUUGUUUUGUUUAUGUUGGGUAGAAUUUUG